This 140-nucleotide ribosomal RNA is filed under the name uncultured bacterium. RNAcentral's name for it is "partial 16S ribosomal RNA". It matches the Rfam family "Bacterial small subunit ribosomal RNA", at positions 195 to 334 of the family's 1533-position model. The record is from RNAcentral.
CCUCUACCAGUGGAAGGCUACUGUUUGGAGAUGAGCCCGCGUACCAUUAGCUUGUUGGUAGGGUAAUGGCCUACCAAGGCGACGAUGGUUAGCUGGUCUGAGAGGAUGAUCAGCCACACUGGAACUGACACACGGUCCAG